UGCAAGUCGAGCGGACAGAUGGGAGCUUGCUCCCUGAUGUUAGCGGCGGACGGGUGAGUAACACGUGGGUAACCUGCCUGUAAGACUGGGAUAACUCCGGGAAACCGGGGCUAAUACCGGAUGGUUGUCUGAACCGCAUGGUUCAGACAUAAAAGGUGGCUUCGGCUACCACUUACAGAUGGACCCGCGGCGCAUUAGCUAGUUGGUGAGGUAACGGCUCACCAAGGCGACGAUGCGUAGCCGACCUGAGAGGGUGAUCGGCCACACUGGGACUGAGACACGGCCCAGACUCCUACGGGAGGCAGCAGUAGGGAAUCUUCCGCAAUGGACGAAAGUCUGACGGAGCAACGCCGCGUGAGUGAUGAAGGUUUUCGGAUCGUAAAGCUCUGUUGUUAGGGAAGAACAAGUGCCGUUCAAAUAGGGCGGCACCUUGACGGUACCUAACCAGAAAGCCACGGCUAACUACGUGCCAGCAGCCGCGGUAAUACGUAGGUGGCAAGCGUUGUCCGGAAUUAUUGGGCGUAAAGGGCUCGCAGGCGGUUUCUUAAGUCUGAUGUGAAAGCCCCCGGCUCAACCGGGGAGGGUCAUUGGAAACUGGGGAACUUGAGUGCACAAGAGGAGAGUGGAAUUCCACGUGUAGCGGUGAAAUGCGUAGAGAUGUGGAGGAACACCAGUGGCGAAGGCGACUCUCUGGUCUGUAACUGACGCUGA
Molecule: ribosomal RNA, 711 nt
Filed under: Bacillus subtilis
Lineage: Bacteria; Bacillati; Bacillota; Bacilli; Caryophanales; Bacillaceae
Description: bacterial SSU rRNA
Rfam family: Bacterial small subunit ribosomal RNA
Source: RNAcentral